GCGAACCGGUUGGAACGAACCUCCGUGCGGGGGAGGGCGAGGGGCGCCGGAGGCCUCCCCCGAGAACAAAACCCCGGCGCCCCAGGCGCCAAGGAAACGAAACAGAGCAGGGCACGCCCGCCGCCGGUCGCCCGGGGCGGGGUCCCAUGCCGGAUUGCAUCCGAAACGACUCUCGGCAACGGAUAUCUCGGCUCUCGCAUCGAUGAAGAACGUAGCGAAAUGCGAUACUUGGUGUGAAUUGCAGAAUCCCGUGAACCAUCGAGUCUUUGAACGCAAGUUGCGCCCGAAGCCGCUAGGCCGAGGGCACGUCUGCCUGGGUGUCACGCAGCGUCGCCAACGCCCAACACUCUGGGCGCGGCGGAUGAUGGCCUCCCGGGAGCCUCGCCUCCCGGCUGGCCGAAAGAGGGGCCCAACGUGACGACCGCCACGAUCCACGGUGGUUGAGUGAGAGACUCGCUCGAGGCCAAGGAGGGCGCGCGUCGUCUCACGGGGAGGGCCCGCCGGCACUCUGCCCCCCACUCGUACGCGACCCCAGAUCAGGCGGGGCUACCCGCUGAG
RNAcentral lists this ribosomal RNA (558 nucleotides) under Chloroleucon extortum. Its description in RNAcentral is "eukaryotic LSU rRNA". The stretch from base 168 to 323 matches the Rfam family "5.8S ribosomal RNA". Lineage: Eukaryota; Viridiplantae; Streptophyta; Magnoliopsida; Fabales; Fabaceae. The record is from RNAcentral.